AUUGGAAGUAUCUCAAUGAGAUA
This 23-nucleotide small nuclear RNA is filed under the name Arabidopsis thaliana (thale cress). Its description in RNAcentral is "snRNA_03001". The record is from RNAcentral. Lineage: Eukaryota; Viridiplantae; Streptophyta; Magnoliopsida; Brassicales; Brassicaceae.